RNAcentral lists this ribosomal RNA (252 nucleotides) under uncultured bacterium. RNAcentral's name for it is "partial 16S ribosomal RNA". It matches the Rfam family "Bacterial small subunit ribosomal RNA", at positions 524 to 775 of the family's 1533-position model. The record is from RNAcentral.
UACGGAGGGUGCAAGCGUUAUCCGGAUUUACUGGGUUUAAAGGGUGCGUAGGUGGGUAGGUAAGUCAGUGGUGAAAUCUUCAAGCUUAACUUGGAAACUGCCAUUGAUACUAUUUAUCUUGAAUACUUUGGAGGUAAGCGGAAUAUGUCAUGUAGCGGUGAAAUGCUUAGAUAUGACAUAGAACACCAAUUGCGAAGGCAGCUUACUACACAGUAAUUGACACUGAGGCACGAAAGCGUGGGGAUCAACAGG